GAGUGACCGCCUCCUGAUCAGAGGGGGGAAGAUCGUGAACGAUGACCAGUCCUUUCACGCUGACCUGUAUGUGGAGGACGGCCUGAUAAAACAAAUUGGAGAAAACCUCAUCGUCCCUGGGGGCAUCAGAACCAUUGAUGCCCACGGCCUGCUGGUCCUGCCAGGCGGAGUCGACGUCCACACGCGGCUGCUGAUGCCCGUGCUGGGCAUGACCCCCGCCGACGACUUCUGCCAGGGGACCAAGGCCGCCCUGGCGGGGGGCACCACCAUGAUAUUGGACCACGUGUUCCCCGAGGCGGGGGUGAGCCUGCUGGCGGCCUACGAGCAGUGGCGGGAGCGAGCGGACGGUGGGGCCUGCUGCGACUACUCCCUGCAUGUGGACAUCCCCCGCUGGCACGAGAGCACCAGGG
Molecule: non-coding RNA, 410 nt
Organism: Odocoileus virginianus texanus
Lineage: Eukaryota; Metazoa; Chordata; Mammalia; Artiodactyla; Cervidae
Source: RefSeq, a predicted model, not a curated record